AGACUUCUGGGGUGACUUAAUGAAAUAGCUCAGCCAUCUGGUUUAAAAACUGGAUUCUUCUAUCCCUCCACACAGCUGUCCAUGCACCUGCAUCAUCUCAAGGCUGGUCUCCCUGGUGGUAGAAAGGCUGACAGUAAAAACUGGAGCCACAUGAUUCCUUGCUUAGGCAGUGUUUCUUCAUACUCUCACAUGAGAGCAGGCAUGUUCUUUCCCUAGGCUCACAGUAAACACUCUGUCAAAUCUCACAGGCCCAAAGUGCUUUUGGUUAUCCCCAUUCCAAGCCAAUCUGUGGCAUGGAAGAUAGCAUUACCCUGACUGCCUUAGACUAAUAUACCUACUCCACUUCUGGGGCUGGGAAUAAUUUUGAGGUCAACCAUCCAAACUGCAUGACAGCCAUUCCAUGGAAGAGGUAUGGCCUAAAUCUUUGGGGCAACCUGAAUUCAUGAAAACUCUCUUAGAUUUAUGUAACUAUUUUUAGAAUUCACUUCUGUAUCAUUUAAUUUUACUAAUAAAAAUACCACCUUUACCCUAAAUGUCAGCCAAGCGUAAGGCUCCGUUGGGACAGGGAAGUUUCUGAGACACCCCAGUAACUGCAUGGGUCCACAAAGCACAUGUACAGUCUGCUCUAUGCACUGCAGGUACAGCCACGAAUAAGACAAAGUCUCUGCCCUCAUGGAGCUUGGUGUCUGUCUACUGGAGCAGACAAAAACAAACCUGCUUUUUCUCAUUUGCCUCUACUGUGGGUUCCGUGUAUAACUCUCAAAUGCUAGCAUUUCCAUGCAUUCCAUCCUUGUCCUUCUCUCCUCUCUGCCUUUUCCAGGAGAAUUUUCCUCCGAGUCUUUCCAUGGGUCUAAUUUACCAAAUCAUGAAGACUCUCUUUCUCACUGUGUAUGUUUUUUUUUUUUUUUUGCAAGUCUGCUCUCUGGAUUCGUUUUUCUGGGGAUGAAAUCUCAGGCUAUGUAGCUUUUCUGGUCCCUUUUUGGUAAUCAACAAAUCAUCAGUUUCUCUAGGUAUUAAAAAGCCUACACUUUUGAAACACCAAGAGGCCAAACUCUCUCUUAAUUGAAAACAUAAUUCUGCCUCUUACUGAGGUCUUUGGGUGGGAAGCUUAAAGACAGCAGUGUUGGGGCAAUUGGUUUUUCUUUUCCUCCCUCCACCUUCUUUCCCAUUCAAGAGCUGUUGCUGCCCUUUCUGGAGGGGAGGGAAUUAGAAAAAAAGAUCCUGCCUUACCCAGUCACUGUUAAUUAUUACUUUGAGCCAGGGUGGGGAAUGACUUUCUUUCCUGGAAUACACCCUGCUGGAAACCACAGCUGAGAUUCUCUAAGCUGGCAGCUUCCAACCUCUCCUCCCUCAACAGCUUCAACAUUAUAUGGCACUCAGCUGCAGGGUGCCUGGCUCCAGGCCGGCAGUCCAUUUGUGCAGGGUAGUUUUCAAGAUGGCUCAUAGCCCAUCUCUUUCAGUGACCAGCGUGGCCUAUGGGAAACAUACAUCUUGACUCCAUUAUUGGUAGGAGUACUUUUUUUUAAAAAUGACAGUCUCUAUCAUGAAUUUACUUACACUCCAGGCAAAGGUUAUUAGAAGAAAAAAAGAUGUAAGAAAAUUCCUUAACUGAAAUGUGGAAAGAGUAUCAAGAGGAGACCCUAAGACACUCUGUAAGAAUCCCAGUGACUCCUCACUGUUCAACUAAGAAAUGUACCCCAUUAUGCUGUGCUACCACGGAAGCAUUGGAGGCACUUUGGGGGUUGAUGAAGUCUUCAUGGAUGAGGUACUUUAAAUAUCUGGUCAUGAAGAGUAUUUGAGAAAUAUGACAAGUGAAGAUGCUGGGUAGGAAUGCAGCGAGGAAAGUGUGUAACACAAGGCCAAAUUGGAAAGGUCAGUGAGGGGGCAAUCUGUGGAGGCACUGAAUGCAGAGGAUAUUAAAAUUAGCAAGAUAGUGUUCUAGCACAAUGAAAAGGAUUGGAAGAGGGAGAUGAGAGUCAGGGAGUGAAAUUAGGCAGCUGCUAAGAAUGUCCGGGUGAGUCA
This 2022-nucleotide long non-coding RNA is filed under the name Homo sapiens (human). RNAcentral's name for it is "non-protein coding lnc-SNRPN-161:1". Lineage: Eukaryota; Metazoa; Chordata; Mammalia; Primates; Hominidae. The record is from RNAcentral.